RNAcentral lists this non-coding RNA (26 nucleotides) under Callithrix jacchus (white-tufted-ear marmoset). Lineage: Eukaryota; Metazoa; Chordata; Mammalia; Primates; Cebidae. RNAcentral also lists the same sequence under 1 other name. The record is from RNAcentral.
UGGCUUGUAGGGUUUCUGCCGAGAGA